RNAcentral lists this long non-coding RNA (2490 nucleotides) under Gossypium barbadense (sea-island cotton). RNAcentral describes it as "long non-coding RNA (GBAR_LNC012211)". The record is from RNAcentral. Lineage: Eukaryota; Viridiplantae; Streptophyta; Magnoliopsida; Malvales; Malvaceae.
AGCUGAUCCCUUUCGCUGUAUGGCGUUCUUGUUUGGGUUGGGCGUCGGCUAAGAGUGCUCGGAGCGUGGAUUAACUCCAGUCUCCUAUUAGGUGUGUAUUUUCUCGCUACUCUAGCUGUAGGAUGGCUACUUCGGGCCGCGAUGGGCCGAAAGGGGUCAUGUGGGCCUAAUGGGCCUACGGGCCCAAUUGGAUAAGUUGUUUGAUUGUGUAGUAAAUAUUGGACUAGGUUAGGUGAAUCUCAUAUUUGUGGCUAGAUUUGGGCUAAAAGGGCCACACGAGCGUGUGGGCCCAUUUGGGCCGAGAAUAGGCUUUAGGCCCAUUCAUAUUGUUAUCCCUGUUUAGAAUAUUUUAGUUUACCAAAUUACUGCAAUGCCCUCGAUUUGUAGAAUUACCAUUUUACCCUUGAUUUAUAGAAUUACCGUUUCACCCUUGAUUUAUAAAAUUACCAUUUUACCCUCGAUUUACAGAGUUAUCGUUUUACCUUCGAUUUACAAAAUUACCAUUUUACCCUCAGUUUACAAAAUUAUUAUUUUACCCUCGAUUGUGAAAUUACUAAAAUACCCCUGUAAGAUAGAAUUACUAAAAUACCCCUAGUUUGUAAAAUUACCGAAAUACCACUGGUUUGUGAAAUUACCGAAAUACUCUCAAUUUGUAAAAUUACCAAAAUACCCCUAAUUUACAAAAUUACAAAAAUACCCUUAACUUUCUAAAAAUUAUAAAAAUACCAUUGGUUUACAAAAUUACUGAAAUACCGUUGGUUUGUAGAUUUACCGAAACACCCUUGUAGGAUGAAAUGACUAAAAUACCCCUAAUAGGUAAAAAGACCGUAAAGCCCCUGUAGGGUAAAGUGACCGUAAUACCCUUGCAUGGUAAAAUGACGAAUAUGCCCUUAUGUUCCGUAUGACUGAUGUGCUUAGGAUUUACAUAUAUUGAUAUUGGAAUAGUUAAGUUUGAGUGACAGGUGGUGGUUAUCAUAAGUGAUUGAUUAUGGAAACGUUUCAACUUCAACCCGUAACAGGUGUGUACUAACCCUCGUAAUAGCUUAGAUUAAUAUUUGUUGAGAAGCUGAAAUGCUAAAAUACCGGUAUUUCGGGAACUUGUGAUUCUGCCUUUGCUUAAAGUGCGAUAGAUACGAUAUGAUCGGUGGUUGGAUCGAUGGAGCAGGUAAGAGCACAAUUUUGUGCACGAUGGUAAGUUGGGCCUCAAUGGGCUGGAAUUGGGCCCAAUGGGCUUUCGGGCCCAUUUGGGUAAAAUUGAUAGAAAAUGGAAUUUGGAAAAGUUGCAUGAUAACACGGUUAGUACUGUUGUAAAAUUUGGAUUAAGCAGGCUUAGUGGGCUAAAUCGGCAUUUGUAGGGCCCAUUAGAGGUUUUGGGCCCAAAAGCCCAAGUUUGAUAAAGUGGGUUAAAGAUAAUUGUUUAAACACUCGAAAAUAUUGAUAAUUGUUGAUGAAUAUGGAAAACCCUGAUAUUUGGUAAAAUUAUGAAAUUACCCUUAUAGUAUGAAAAUGAUUGUUUUGCCCUUAGGUAAAAAUGACCAUUAUACCCCUAGGGUUUAAUUAUAAAUUUGAUACGUGGGAUAUGAUAUACAUGAUUGAUAUGAUAUGCACUUGAUAUGUAUAAAAUGCACAUGAUAUGUAUGAAAUGCACAUGAUGUAUUCAUAAAUGCAUUGGGUUGGGUUUUUAUAUGGAUGGAGGAAGUGCAAAAGGGCUUAUGCCCCAGUUUAUUGAAAAGGGCUUAUGCCCUAGUUUACCGAAAAGGGCUUAUGCCCCAGUUUAUUGAAAAGGGCUUUGCCCCAGUUUACCGAAAAGGGCUUUGCCCCAGUUAUUAAAAGAGGCUAGGCCUCCAGAUAUAUGAUAAAGCAGUUAUGCUGCCAGUGGUGUGUUGGUUGGGUGGGUUGAAUCGUUCCCUACAUGGUGUGUUGGUUGGUACGGGUGGAGAGUAGCGGAUGGUGGGUCGAGUAGUCUCCCCAAAUGGGAUUGCAUACAUUCAUUGGUAUUUCAUAUGAUAUUGAAAUGGGCUUGCAUACAUCCAUUGACAUUACAUGUGAUAUUGAAAUGGGCCUAUAGGCCAUACCGUUUACAGUAAAGGCUUCGACCCAGUGAAAUGAUUUAUGAAAAGGCUUUGGCCCAGUGAUAUGAUUUAUGAAAAGGCUUCGGCCCAGUAACCGUUAAACGAAAGGCUUCGGCCCAGUAUAUGUCAAGACUAAAUAGGGCUUUGGCCCAAAUUGUACUGAUACUGUGUUUUCACUAUUUGUAUGUUAUUGGGAUUACACACUGAGUUUUCGUAAACUCACCCUGUUUCUAACUGUGCAGGUAAUCCCUAAGCUUAGAUGGUUUGGAGCUGCGAGGGACUCGGAGAUGGCCACACUACUGUUUCUGUUUCUUUUAAAUGCAAUAAGUAGCCGAUUUAUUUCUUUAUAAGUUUUGUCUUAUUAAUAUUAUUAUUUGGUUUUGGGUUGUAAUAAGGCCAUUUUAAUUAUUUUUCUGGG